GCUCCGGGUGUCCUCCCCAGUGCGCCGCGAUUUUUGUGUCCAAGCCCCAGAGUCCCUCUGAGACCAACCCCCAGCCAGCACAGACUUCCUGCCUUCCCAGCUCGGGGAUGUGGUCUCAUUAGGUUGCCCAAGCUGGACUUGUACUCUUGGCCUCAAGAGGUCCUUCCAUCUCAGUCUCCCAAGUAGCUGGGACUACAAGCAUGCACCACUACACUCAGCCAAAUACUUUCAAUAAUUUGCCAGCUGACAACUUGAUUGGGUUCUCCUUCAGGUUUGAAGCGCCCUCGAGAAGUGUCUAAAGGAGACAGUUGAUAGCCAAACAACAGUUUUGGAUUCACUGACUGAUUAUGAAAGAAGCAGUAGACUGGUAUCAAGAAUCAGUCAGGUAGGAAAUGGAGCACUUGGUGGUGUCUUUGGCUAUGGGAAAAAGGAAAUGCCCACUGAUCCCAUUCCUGGAAAAUGGGAGAGGAGACAGAAUACCCUUCACAAUGAGGAAAAUGGGAUUAGGAAUUAGUCUCUGAUUGACUGAUAUUUGUGUCUCCAUUAUCUGAAAUCAUGCCGUUUGUUUGAAUUGUUUUUUCCAAUAUGUGCGCUGCUGGUGUUAAGUCUGAAUGAAGGAAGGGACUGGGAGUCAUUUCCUAACAUUGCUAUGGUUUGAAUGUGUCCCCUAAAUUUCAUGUCUUGGAAACUUAAUCCCCAAAUUCAAAUGUUGAUUGGAAGUGGAACCUUUAGGACAUAAUUAGGAUUAGAUAAGGUCAUCAGUGUGGGCCCCCACCCCCAUGAUGGAACUGGUGGCUUUAUAAGAAGAGGAAGAUAAGAAGGGAAAGAAAGACCUGAGCUGACAUGCACAUGCUUGACCACUUGUCAUGUGAUGCCCUUUGCCAUGUUGUGACACAGCAAGGAGGCCCUCACCAGACGCCAGUGCCAUGUUCUUGGACUUCUCAGCCUCCAUAUUCAUGAACUAAGUAAGUUUUUUUUUCUUUAUAAAUUAUCCAGCAUAUAGUAUUCUGUUAGGUAACAGAAGACAGACUAAGACAACCAUACUCCCAGUGCCUAGAUUAAUACAUACACUGUAGAUGAUUAAUACAUAUGGUUCAUAUGGUUGUUUGUUUGUUUGGUUGGUUUUUGAGACAGACUCUUGCUCUGUCACCCAGGCUAUAGUUAGUUCAGUGGCACAAUCUCAGCUCACUGCAACCUCUGCUUCUCCAGUUCAAGUUAUUUUCAUGCCUCAACCAUCUGAGUAGCUGGGAUUACAAGUGUGCCCCACCACACCCAGCUAAUUUUUGUAUUUUUAGUAAAGACAUGGUUUUGCCAUGUUAGUCAGGCUUGUCUCAAACUCCUGGCCUCCAGUGAUCCACCUGCCUCGGCCUCCCACAUUGCUGGGAUUACAGGUGUGAGCCAUUUGCCUGGCCAUAAAUAUGAUUUGAAUAAACUAUUGAAUAAAUGUGUCAACUGAGA
This is a long non-coding RNA of Homo sapiens (human), 1458 nucleotides long. Ensembl annotates it as long intergenic non-protein coding RNA 941. The record is from Ensembl. NCBI's taxonomy places the organism in Eukaryota, Metazoa, Chordata, Mammalia, Primates, Hominidae.